RNAcentral lists this small nuclear RNA (107 nucleotides) under Cervus elaphus hippelaphus. RNAcentral also lists the same sequence under 1 other name. The record is from RNAcentral. Lineage: Eukaryota; Metazoa; Chordata; Mammalia; Artiodactyla; Cervidae.
GUGCUCACUUCGGCAGCACACAUACUAAAAUUCGAAUGAUACAGAGAAGCUUAGCAUGGCCCCUGCACAAGUAUGACACGCAAAUUCGUGAAACGUUCCAUAUUUUU